RNAcentral lists this small RNA (27 nucleotides) under Bombyx mori (domestic silkworm). RNAcentral's name for it is "ovarian small RNA-18614". The record is from RNAcentral. Lineage: Eukaryota; Metazoa; Arthropoda; Insecta; Lepidoptera; Bombycidae.
UAACAGGCAGGCAAGUGGUGGCGCUAG